This 188-nucleotide ribosomal RNA is filed under the name uncultured bacterium. Its description in RNAcentral is "partial 16S ribosomal RNA". It matches the Rfam family "Bacterial small subunit ribosomal RNA", at positions 1314 to 1500 of the family's 1533-position model. The record is from RNAcentral.
GCCUGCACGAAGUUGGAAUUGCUAGUAAUCGCGGAUCAGCAUGCCGCGGUGAAUACGUUCCCGGGUCCUGUACACACCGCCCGUCACACCAUGGGAGCCGGUAAUACCCGAAGUCAGUAGUUUAACCCUUGUGGAGGACGCUGCCGAAGGUAGGAUUGGCGACUGGGGUGAAGUCGUAACAAGGUAGC